Molecule: transfer RNA, 69 nt
Filed under: Carcinoscorpius rotundicauda (Southeast Asian horseshoe crab)
Lineage: Eukaryota; Metazoa; Arthropoda; Merostomata; Xiphosura; Limulidae
Description: tRNA-Met
Rfam family: tRNA
About the family: Transfer RNA (tRNA) molecules are approximately 80 nucleotides in length. Their secondary structure includes four short double-helical elements and three loops (D, anti-codon, and T loops).
Source: RNAcentral
UAAAAAGUAAGCUAAAUAAGCUAUUGGGCUCAUAACCCAUUGAUAGAAGUUUUAAUCUUCUCUUUUUUA